AGAGGUUGACUUUGCAAGAAGGAGAGUUUGGUUUAAUAUAACCUCUUGCUGACUUCAAAGAGCAUUGCUAACAAGUCCAAAACCCCCUAAAAUGUCAUGAGGCUUCUCAUAGUUUGGACCAUCACUUUUUUGAAUCAAAACUUGUCUUAAAAAAAAUCUUCAAAUAUAAAAUUUAGAGCCGUCAAAAUGGGCUAGACAUGUUGGGACGGCUCGGCACGGCAUAACCUGUGAUUUAAUAGGGUUGAAUUAAGAUUUCUGAAGUUCAUUAAAGGAAAGAGAUUUUUUAGCCCAGUCUGAAAAAGUAGAUUAUAUGUGGGGCUUUUUCAAUAUGGGUAGGGCCAACUCAUUGGCUAAAAAAUAAAAGUACAAACAUGAAAAUAUUCAAACAUUUGUAGCUACUCGAAAAUAGUUGCACGGUAUUUCUCAAACGGAUAAUAUCUUUUUUUGUACAUUUAAAUACUCUACGUAUUUCUUUAUUUUUUUAUUUUUUUUUAACACACAAGUCACAACUAAGAAUAGUGAUCAUUGGGGUGAAAUUCGAAUAAGUCUGUCAUUGAUGAAAUUUAAUUUGAGUUUUUCAUAUCAGAAUCAUUUUCAUCUGGACAUGAAAAUCCUAUGAGAGAUACACAAGUGACACAUGUGAAAUAUACCAAUAUACAAUGGUGAUACAUAGAUAUACAUAGGACAUACACCACUAGACCAAGACGUGGAUUAAGUCGAACCAAAAUGUCCUUGAUACAAACAUUAUAUUUGUUUUAAGAACGUUAAUUUAGUAAUUUAAAAGAUAAAAUCUUAAAUUCUUAUACUUUAAAUAGUACAUAUGAAACCAUUUUAUUCUUUCUUUAAAAACUCCUUUCCAAAUAUGCAUUUAAAACAUAAACUUCUGGUCUAACUUUUCAAGUCCAAAAUCAUUAAUGCAUAAGAAGUCUCAUGUAAAAAUCUUUAUACACCUGACUUUUAUAAACACUUAGGGUUCAUCACUAUGACUUUAGGGCGUGAAGACGAACUUAAUCCAUCACUAUGAGUAACCUAACAUACAUGGAAGAACAAAGUUCUAGACGAAACUGAAAGAACACUUGAAAAUCCUAAUUUCUCCUCUCGGAUCCUUGUUUUGAAACUUUGAAGCAUUAAUGAGUGUAAUAUGAUCGAUUAAUACCGUUUAGAAUUUUAUUUAGGUAUAAGAAUAUCGAGGGUAUAAACUUAGAAGGGUUUGGGAAAGAAAAAGAUGUAAAGAACCUUUCACGGGGCCAUCUAUGGUUCAUGAUUUUAUCUACGGGCGGUAGAUCUCACCCGUGGAAUUCAUAUUGAAAUUCUAAGGCUCAAAACUUCAUUCUACGGGCCAAAAUAUGACAUGUAGAAGUUUCUAUAAAUUGUGAAUUGGUAUGUAAGAAUUAAACCCAAAGUUUUAACUCUCGAUACUUUUUCUACGAGUGAACAAUACGGAUCAUAGAAACUUCUACGACCUAUAGAAGUCAUUUGUAGGCCAUUGACUCAGAAAAUGAUGUUGUGUCAAUCAUGAUCUUUUACUUCAAACUUGAAAUGAAACUUGAAAUGAGGGAAACUUAAUAGCGUUGGAAUUGAAAAUGACUCAUUUACCUUUAAUUUGAUAGUUCAUUAAUCAUCUGAUUCAUUAUGUGUCGAGAGAUAUUACUUUUUGAAGUUGACCUACAUAGAAUCUCAUAUCAAAACUUAAUCAAUAAAAUAUAAAUGAUGAAAUAAUUUACAAAUAAAAUAUAAUAAUUUCAGAAAUAGGGCAUGAGGAAGAUAAAGGUAUGUGCAACACCACUAAUUAAAAGUAGGAUUUGUUUUUUGCUAAUUGGUUAUCAGCUCAAAUAAAACAACAAAUGAAAUAAUUUAAUUGGUUUACUCUAUUAAAAUAUUUAUUAGACAACCCAUUUCAGGUAGUAAUAUUUUCAGAAGACCAUCAUUUAAAAAUGCAUAUGUAGACAAAUUUACCAGCUAACACGUGAACCUAUGAUUUUUUCCCCGUAAAAUUAGAUAUUUUAUGUGUAUAUUUUCUAAAUUUGGUAUAAUAUUUUUUGUUGACACUCACUUAUAGUAAGGCUAAAUAAUGGUGCAAUUUGUUGGAUGUUGAGUUACUUACUUAGAAAACUAGGGAUUGAUUCUCAAUUAAUACAUGUUCUCCUUCUCUUUUUCAGUGAUGCACUCAUAUUCUAAAAAUCUUAGAUUUGCCUCUAACUAACCCCCACGUACCAUUGUGAGGUAUAAAAGUUAUUUUUGAAAUAUGCAAUUCCACAACUAGAAUCUGAAAAAGAUAUUUUAUGUAUAUAUUUUUUUAAAUUUGGUAUAAUAUUUUAUGUUGACACUUGUUUAUAAUAUAAAGCUAAAUAAUGGUGCAAUUGGUCGAUUGUUGAGUUACUUUGAAAACUAGGGAUCAAUCCCCACUUAUACAUGUUUUCCUUUUUCUUUUAUCAAUGAUUUUCACAUUCUAGAAGUUCCAGAUUUGCCUCUUACUAAACCCUCACAUAAUAUCAUUAUGAUAUAAAAGUUUGUUUUUAUAAUACGUACAAAGUCUAUUACUAAACACAUGCGAAAAUACUAUAUACGCAACGAAAAUGAUAUAUUUAGUAAAACGGAAAAGUUGAUGAGAACAUGAAAGAAAUCUAAAUACCCCUUCAUAAUCCAUUGUCCCACAUCGACUAUAAAGCCCAAACAAGGCAACUUUAUAACCUCUCAACUUAAUAACAAGUGUGCCGAGCUUGGCAACGCGAGCUUGUAACUCAAGUGAGGGCAUUAAGGUGAUGCGGACAAACUAAUAAAAGUAGACUUUAAAGUUUCUAAUGGGUAUAUUAUGGAUCAAGCACUAAUACUGGGCAUCUGUGGUGACCCUUCUUAAUAGAAGUGAGGCGUCUACAAAGAUAUUUGUGGGCAUCAGGUGUGUCCCUCUUUAAAAGAGGUUGACUUUGCAAAUAGAAGAGAGGCGUCUACAAAGAUAUUUGUGGGCAUCAGGUGUGUCCCUCUUUAAAAGAGGUUGACUUUGCAAGAAGAGAAGAGUCUGGUUUAUAACCUUUACUGACUUCACAGAGCAGGGCUCAUCCCUCUUGCAUGAUUAUAUCAACAGACCAGUUUGCUAACAAGUCCAAAACCCUAAAAGUGACAUGAGGCUUCUUCUCAUAGUUUGGACCAUCACCUUUU
RNAcentral lists this long non-coding RNA (3156 nucleotides) under Solanum lycopersicum (tomato). Its description in RNAcentral is "long non-coding RNA (SLYC_LNC001240)". Lineage: Eukaryota; Viridiplantae; Streptophyta; Magnoliopsida; Solanales; Solanaceae. The record is from RNAcentral.